This 609-nucleotide long non-coding RNA is filed under the name Ananas comosus (pineapple). RNAcentral describes it as "long non-coding RNA (ACOM_LNC034956)". The record is from RNAcentral. Lineage: Eukaryota; Viridiplantae; Streptophyta; Magnoliopsida; Poales; Bromeliaceae.
ACCACGACUAUAACGUCUCUGUCCUUUCAACUCAUUUGGAUGAUCAGAAUUUCAAAUUGAUAAUCAGUAUUGUUGAAUUAAUCUGAACUAGUAGAAAAUAUUUAGAAACCAAAAUUUGUAAUUUUAAAAAAUGAUUAUCAAAUUCAUCGAAAAGUCGAAAAUGAACGGUCAAAAACAAAUGAUCUUCUAAAAACAGAGAUUGGAUUUUCUAAAUUUACGAUCGGAGUUAUUAAACAUUAUGUAAAUAGUAUAAAAAAUUUUCUAUCAAAAAUUCAAUCGGUUUGAAUUACUCUACACCAUUAAACAAGUAAAUGACUCAUAUAGACCGUAAAAACCUGUCAAUUUUGUAAUCUUUUGAUCACUAUGUAAAUAAAUUUUAAAAUUUAUAAAAUUUAGUUCCUAGAUAAUUCAAAUACUCCAAAUCAACUUCAAUUGUUCAGAUUAUCAAUUUCGGAUCUCUAUUAUCAAAAACGAUUUGAUAGGAUGAAGAUCUUUAUCCUCCUAAAAGAAUACCAUACAUCUAUUCAUCUAAUGACCGAAAAUUUAUGAGUACAAAGAGAUCUAUACUUAUUAGAAUAUAGUAGCUCUAAUCUAUAAAUAUAUAUAUAG